GCCAGGCACGGUGGCACAUGCCUGUAAUCCCAGCAGCUCAGGAGGCUGAGGCAGGAGGAUUGCAAGUUCAAAGCCAGCCUUAGCAAAAGCGAGGCACUCAGCAACUUGGUGAGACCUGUUUCUA
Molecule: small RNA, 124 nt
Filed under: Marmota monax (woodchuck)
Lineage: Eukaryota; Metazoa; Chordata; Mammalia; Rodentia; Sciuridae
Source: RNAcentral